Molecule: ribosomal RNA, 760 nt
Filed under: Aspergillus niger
Lineage: Eukaryota; Fungi; Ascomycota; Eurotiomycetes; Eurotiales; Aspergillaceae
Description: SSU rRNA
Rfam family: Eukaryotic small subunit ribosomal RNA
Source: RNAcentral
UGCAUGUCUAAGUAUAAGCAAUUUAUACGGUGAAACUGCGAAUGGCUCAUUAAAUCAGUUAUCGUUUAUUUGAUAGUACCUUACUACAUGGAUACCUGUGGUAAUUCUAGAGCUAAUACAUGCUGAAAACCUCGACUUCGGAAGGGGUGUAUUUAUUAGAUAAAAAACCAAUGCCCUUCGGGGCUCCUUGGUGAAUCAUAAUAACUUAACGAAUCGCAUGGCCUUGCGCCGGCGAUGGUUCAUUCAAAUUUCUGCCCUAUCAACUUUCGAUGGUAGGAUAGUGGCCUACCAUGGUGGCAACGGGUAACGGGGAAUUAGGGUUCGAUUCCGGAGAGGGAGCCUGAGAAACGGCUACCACAUCCAAGGAAGGCAGCAGGCGCGCAAAUUACCCAAUCCCGACACGGGGAGGUAGUGACAAUAAAUACUGAUACGGGGCUCUUUUGGGUCUCGUAAUUGGAAUGAGUACAAUCUAAAUCCCUUAACGAGGAACAAUUGGAGGGCAAGUCUGGUGCCAGCAGCCGCGGUAAUUCCAGCUCCAAUAGCGUAUAUUAAAGUUGUUGCAGUUAAAAAGCUCGUAGUUGAACCUUGGGUUCGGCCGGCCGGUCCGCCUCACCGCGAGUACUGUCCGGCCGUUCCUUUCCUUCUGGGGAAUCCCAUGGCCUUCACUGGCUGUGGGGGGAACCAGGACUUUUACUGUGAAAAAAUUAGAGUGUUCAAAGCAGGCCUUUGCUCGAAUACAUUAGCAUGGAAUAAUAGAAUA